RNAcentral lists this ribosomal RNA (510 nucleotides) under uncultured bacterium. RNAcentral's name for it is "bacterial SSU rRNA". It matches the Rfam family "Bacterial small subunit ribosomal RNA", at positions 28 to 532 of the family's 1533-position model. The record is from RNAcentral.
GAUGAACGCUAGCGACAGGCCUAACACAUGCAAGUCGAACGGCAGCGCGGGGGCAACCCUGGCGGCGAGUGGCGAACGGGUGAGUAAUGUAUCGGAACGUAUCCUGUAAUGGGGGAUAACCAGUCGAAAGAUUGGGUAAUACCGCAUACGCACGAGAGUGGAAAGUAGGGGAUCGCAAGACCUUACGUUAUAGGAGCGGCCGAUAUCUGAUUAGCUAGUUGGUGGGGUAAAGGCCUACCAAGGCGACGAUCCGUAGCUGGUCUGAGAGGAUGAUCAGCCACACUGGAACUGAGACACGGUCCAGACUCCUACGGGAGGCAGCAGUAGGAAAUAUUGGACAAUGGGCGCAAAGCCUGAUCCAGCCAUGCCGCGUGAGUGAAGAAGGCCCUCGGGUUGUAAAGCUCUUUUGUCCGGAAAGAAAAGCGCCGGGUUAAUACCCUGGUGUCCUGACGGUACCGGAAGAAUAAGCACCGGCUAACUACGUGCCAGCAGCCGCGGUAAUGAGUAGUA